This 121-nucleotide ribosomal RNA is filed under the name Pteropus alecto (black flying fox). Lineage: Eukaryota; Metazoa; Chordata; Mammalia; Chiroptera; Pteropodidae. The record is from RNAcentral.
GUCUACGGCCAUGACCCCCUGAACAAGCCUGAUGUCUGAUCUUGGAAGCUAAGCAGGGUCGGGCCUGGUUCUGCUUAGUACUUGGAUGGGAAACACCUAGGAAGACCAGGUGCUGUAGAAG